RNAcentral lists this long non-coding RNA (246 nucleotides) under Capsicum annuum. Its description in RNAcentral is "long non-coding RNA (CANN_LNC004105)". The record is from RNAcentral. Lineage: Eukaryota; Viridiplantae; Streptophyta; Magnoliopsida; Solanales; Solanaceae.
CUCCGUGUCAUCUUCACUUCCCAUUGAGAACUCUGCAUUAUCGCUUGCAUCGUCGUAGUGUUCCUCGGAUCCAUUUGACUUCUCAGGUUUUAUUGACUCGGUCUCUGAAUCUGACAUCUCUAAAUGGCUAUAGUUUAUUCGGUUUCUGGUUGCCCUGUUACUGCGUCUUAAACCUGGCUGAAGGUUGCCCACUGACCUCAACUUGGUUUCUCUUCUUGUGCGGCCAGGCAGUUUCUUAAAUUUGCG